RNAcentral lists this long non-coding RNA (335 nucleotides) under Phascolarctos cinereus (koala). RNAcentral's name for it is "lncRNA (ENSPCIG00000036034.1)". The record is from RNAcentral. Lineage: Eukaryota; Metazoa; Chordata; Mammalia; Diprotodontia; Phascolarctidae.
AUUGCUUUCCUCCUGGUGCAUGUAUCUCCCCUCAGUGACACACGAGUCGGUGUCUUGAAGUUUUCCAAACAGCUCUGCCUUCUGCUGCUUUGUUAUCCUGAAUGGCCCAAGAGCUCGCCUAUUUCCGAGCGUGCCUUCUGGAAUCUGCUUUCUGAGAUUAGCGGUGCCCUCUCCCCUGAUUUGGACAAAGAUCUAUCCUUUGAGGAGACAGCAUACGGGCAGUACCUGGCAGCUUGAAAUAUGGAUGUAUCAGUAGACACCAACAAGGAGGCCACUGGAGAAAGAAGAAUAACAUGAAGAAAGGACAAAACAAUAGAAUGACAUUGAGACAGCUU